Molecule: ribosomal RNA, 301 nt
Filed under: uncultured bacterium
Lineage: Bacteria
Description: partial 16S ribosomal RNA
Rfam family: Bacterial small subunit ribosomal RNA
Source: RNAcentral
CAGUAGCCGCGGUAAUACGUAGGUGGCAAGCGUUGUCCGGAGUUAUUGGGCGUAAAGGGCUCGCAGGCGGUUUCUUAAGUCUGAUGUGAAAGCCCCCGGCUCAACCGGGGAGGGUCAUUGGAAACUGGGAAACUUGAGUGCAGAAGAGGAGAGUGGAAUUCCACGUGUAGCGGUGAAAUGCGUAGAGAUGUGGAGGAACACCAGUGGCGAAGGCGACUCUCUGGUCUGUAACUGACGCUGAGGAGCGAAAGCGUGGGGAGCGAACAGGAUUAGAUACCCGUGUAGUCCCUGUCUCUUAUAC